Molecule: non-coding RNA, 72 nt
Organism: Parelaphostrongylus tenuis
Lineage: Eukaryota; Metazoa; Nematoda; Chromadorea; Rhabditida; Metastrongylidae
Source: the annotation of a GenBank genome assembly
GCCUCGGUGGUGUAGUGCCAGCACAUGUAGUGCUGGUAUGUAUGGACGCGGGUUCAACUCCCUCCUGAAGUA